Molecule: ribosomal RNA, 253 nt
Filed under: uncultured bacterium
Lineage: Bacteria
Description: partial 16S ribosomal RNA
Rfam family: Bacterial small subunit ribosomal RNA
Source: RNAcentral
UACGUAGGGGGCAAGCGUUGUCCGGAUUUAUUGGGCGUAAAGAGCUCGUAGGCGGCUCGUCGCGUCGACUGUGAAAGCCUGGGGCUUAACCCUGGGCCUGCAGUCGAUACGGGCGGGCUAGAGUUCGGUAGGGGAGACUGGAAUUCCUGGUGUAGCGGUGAAAUGCGCAGAUAUCAGGAGGAACACCGGUGGCGAAGGCGGUUCUCUGGGCCUUACCUGACGCUGAGGAGCGAAAGCGUGGGGAGCGAACAGG